CAGACUGUGUGAUUCCCUUUAUAUGAAAUGUGCAGAAUAGGCAAAUCCAUAGCGAUAGAAAGAAGAUUAGCGGUUGCUAG
Cervus elaphus (red deer) is the source of this 80-nucleotide long non-coding RNA. RefSeq lists it as uncharacterized. Lineage: Eukaryota; Metazoa; Chordata; Mammalia; Artiodactyla; Cervidae. The transcript has 3 exons. The record is from RefSeq and is a predicted model, not a curated record.